UUCCCCGUUUAGGGACUGUCUCGCUAGAGAAAAUGUAACUAGCGACAAGGGUUGCGCUCGUUGCGGGACUUAACCCAACACCUCACGGCACGAGCUGACAACAGCCAUGCAACAUCUGUGUACCUGCCCCGAAGGGAGACCUGCUUUCGCAGGCUGUCAGGAACAUGUCAAGCCCUGGUAAGGUUCUUCGCUUAGCAUCGAAUUAAACCACACGCUCCGCUGCUUGUGCGGGCCCCCGUCAAUUCCUUUGAGUUUUAGCCUUGCGGCCGUACUCCCCAGGCGGGAUACUUAUCGCGUUAGCUUCGGCACGGGAGGGGUCGAUACCCCCCAUACCUAGUAUCCAUCGUUUAGGGCGUGGACUAC
This 363-nucleotide unclassified non-coding RNA is filed under the name uncultured Dehalococcoidia bacterium. RNAcentral describes it as "contains 16S-23S intergenic spacer region". The record is from RNAcentral. Lineage: Bacteria; Bacillati; Chloroflexota; Dehalococcoidia.